UGGGCUGAGACUUAGAGAUGGGGUAAGGAGCCCGGGCACUACGGAUGUGCUCAGAGUAGAACCGCUGCUCCUCCAUGUCAAGAGGAGUCAGCUGAGGUGGCUCAGGUAUCUGGUUAGGAUGCCUUCUGAAUGCCUCCCAUUGGACGUGUUCCAGACAUGUCCCACUGGGAGGAGACCUUGUGGCUGGCCCAGGACCAGGUGGAGGGAUUAUAUCUCUCACCUGACCUGGGAGUGCCUGGAAAUCCCCCCGGAGGAGCUGGUGGAAGUGGCUGGGGUGAAGGCCAUCUGGGCUUCCCUCCUGUAGCUGCUGCCCCCACGACCCGGACCCGAAUGAAGCAGAAGAAAAUGACAACAACGACGAUGGUAUGGGGGUGCAUUAGUGCCCAAGGCAUGGGUAACUUACACAUCUGUGAAGGCAAAAUCAAUGCUGAAAGGUACAUACAGGUAUUGGAGCAACAUACGCUGCCAUCCAAGCAACGUCUUUUUCAGCAAGACAAUGCCAAGCCACAUUCUGCACGUGUUACAACAGAGUGGCUGCGUAGUAAGAGUGUGCAGGUACUCUACUGGCCUGCUUGCAGUCCAGAACUGUCUCCUAUUGAAAAUGUGUGCCACAUUAUGAAGCACAAAAUACGACAAUGGAGACCCUGGACUGUUGAACAACUAAAGCUGUACAUCAGGCAAGAAUGGGAAAGAAUUCCACCUUCAAAGCUUCAACAAUUAGUCUCCUCAGUUCCCAAACGUUUACUGAGUGUUGUUAAAAGGAAAGGUGAGGUAACACAGAUGUAAACAUGCCCCUGUCCCAACUACUUUGGCACGUGUUGCAGCCAUGAAAUUCUGAGUUAAUGAUUAUGUUAAAUUAAGGAGUUUGAACAUUAAAAAUCUUGUCUUUGUAGUAUAUUCAAUUGAAUAUAGGUUGAAAAGAAUUUGCAAAUCAUUGUAUUCUGUUUUUAUGUAUGUUUAUCACAAUUUCCCAACUUCAAUGGAACUGUGUUUUGUAAAUCAAGUGUUGAUCUGUUACCUGUCAGACUAACUCGAUAAACACCUUUACCUGUCAGUCUGGCUCGAUAACACCUUAACCUGUCAGUCUGAUUCUAUUACACCUUUGCCUAUCAGUCUGACCCCAUAACACCUUUACCUGUCAGUCUGACUCGAUAACACCUUUAUCUCACAGUCUGACUCUAUAACUCCUUUACAUGUCAGUAUGACUCUAUAAAACCUUUACAUAACAGUCUGACUCUAUAACAACUUUACUUGUCAUUCUGACUCUGUAACAUCUUUACCUCGCAGUCUGACUCUUUAACACCUUGACCUGUCAGUCUGACUCUAUAACACCUUUACCUUACAGUCUGACUCUGUAACACAUUUGCCUGUCAGUCUAUCAGGAUAACCCCUUUACCUCACAGUCUCUAAAACAACUUUGCCUGUCAUUCUGACUCUGUCACACCUCUACCCUUCAGUCUGACUUUUUAACAACAUUACUUGUCAGUCUGACUCCACUACAUCUUUUCCUCACAGUCUGACUCUUUAACACCUUUGCCUGACAGUUUGACUCUGUAGCACCUUUACCUGUUGGUCUGACUCUGUAAAACCUUUACCUGUCAGUCUGACUCUGUAACACCAUUUCCUGUCAGUCUAAGUCUGUAACACCAUUACCUGAAAGUCCGAUUCUAUAUAACCUUUACCUUAAAGUGCGACUCUUUGUAACACCUUUACCUGUCAGUCUGACUCUGUAAAACCUUUACCUCAUAGUCUAACCCUAACACCUUUGUCUUCAAGUCUUAGUCUGUUACACUUUUACCUGACAGUCUGACUUUAUUACACCUUUACCUGCCAGUCUGAGUCAAUAACACUUUUUCUUCACAGUCUGACUCUUUAACACCUUUACCUCUCCGUUUUACUCUUUAAAACCAUAACCUCACAGUCUGACUUAAUAACACCUUUACCAUUCAGUCUGACUCUGUAACACAUUUGCCUGUCAGUCUAUUAGGAUAACACCUUACCGUCUGACUCUAAAACACCUUUCAGUCUGACUCUAUAACACCUUUGCCUGACAGUUUGACUCUGUAGCACCUUUACCUGUCAGUCUGACUCUGUAAAACCUUUACCUUUCAGUCAGAUUCUAACAGCCUUUCUUCAGUCAGUCAGUCAGUCUAACUCUGUAACACCAUUACCUGAUACCCGAUUCUUUAUUACCUUUACCUUAGAUUCCGACUCUGUAACACCUUCUCCUGUGCGCCUGACUCUGUAACACCUUUACUUGACAGCUUGACUCUGUUACACCUUUACUUUACAGUCUGACUCUGUUACACCUUUAUCUUACAGUCAGGAUCUGUAAUGCCUUUACUUGACAGUAUGACUCUAUCAUAUUUGUAAGUCUGAAUUUGUAACACAUGUACCUCACAGUCUGAGUCUAUAACAACUUUAAAUGACAGUCUGACUCUAAAGCACCUUUGCCUGAUAGUGUGACUCUGUAACACUUUCACCUGGCAGUCUGACACUGAAACACCUCUGCCUGUCAUACUGACUUUUUAACAGCUUUACCUGUCAGUCUGACUUUCUAUUACCUUUACUUGAGAGUUUGACUUUGUAACACCUUUACCUGUCACUCUGACUCUGUAACACCUUUACAGAGUCAGUCUGACUACACUCACCGGCCACUUUAUUAGGUACACCAUGCUAGUAACGGGUUGGACCCCCUUUUGCCUUCAGAACUGCCUCAAUUCUUCGUGGCAUAGAUUCAACAAGGUGCUGGAAGCAUUCCUCAUUCCAUAUUGACAUGAUGGCAUCACACAGUUGCCGCAGAUUUGUCGGCUGCACAUCCAUGAUGCGAAUCUCCCGUUCCACCACAUCCGAAAGAUGCUCUAUUGGAUUGAGAUCUGGUGACUGUGGAGGCCAUUUGAGUACAGUGAACUCAUUGUCAUGUUCAAGAAACCAGUCUGAGAUGAUUCCAGCUUUAUGACAUGGCGCAUUAUCCUGCUGAAAGUAGCCAUCAGAAGUUGGGUACAUUGUGGUCAUAAAGGGAUGGACAUGGUCAGCAACAAUACUCAGGUAGGCUGUGGCGUUGCAACGAUGCUCAAUUGGUACCAAGGGGCCCAAAGAGUGCCAAGAAAAUAUUCCCCACACCAUGACACCACCACCACCAGCCUGAACCGUUGAUACAAGGCAGGAUGGAUCCAUGCUUUCAUGUUGUUGACGCCAAAUUCUGACCCUACCAUCCGAAUGUCGCAGCAGAAAUCGAGACUCAUCAGACCAGGCAACGUUUUUCCAAUCUUUUCCAAUUCUGCUGCUGUAGCCCAUCUGCCUCAAAGUUCGACGUACUGUGCGUUCAGAGAUGCUCUUCUGCCUACCUUGGUUGUAACGGGUGGUUAUUUGAGUCACUGUUGCCUUUCUAUCAGCUCGAACCAGUCUGGCCAUUCUCCUCUGACCUCUGGCAUCAACAAGGCAUUUCCGCCCACAGAACUGCCGCUCACUGGAUAUUUUUUCUUUUUCGGACCAUUCUCUGUAAACCCUAGAGAUGGUUGUGCGUGAAAAUCCCAGUAGAUCAGCAGUUUCUGAAAUACUCAGACCAGCCCUUCUGGCACCAACAACCAUGCCACGUUCAAAGUCACUCAAAUCACCUUUCUUCCCCA
Xyrichtys novacula (pearly razorfish) is the source of this 3629-nucleotide non-coding RNA. NCBI's taxonomy places the organism in Eukaryota, Metazoa, Chordata, Actinopteri, Labriformes, Labridae. The record is from the annotation of a GenBank genome assembly.